This is a small nucleolar RNA of Tachyglossus aculeatus (Australian echidna), 138 nucleotides long. Lineage: Eukaryota; Metazoa; Chordata; Mammalia; Monotremata; Tachyglossidae. The record is from RefSeq and is a predicted model, not a curated record.
AACCUCUCAGGAUGGCACCUGGAGAGUUUCCAGUACUCUACCAGUCUCAACCAAGGGAGGAAGAGUCAAGUAGAGGCAUAUCCAUUCCAUUCCUAGCUUGGGCAGUGGCUAGUGAGUGGAAGGCAAUCUGCUACAAGU